Molecule: ribosomal RNA, 520 nt
Filed under: uncultured Glomeraceae
Lineage: Eukaryota; Fungi; Glomeromycota; Glomeromycetes; Glomerales; Glomeraceae
Description: SSU rRNA
Rfam family: Eukaryotic small subunit ribosomal RNA
Source: RNAcentral
AGCAGCCGCGGUAAUUCCAGCUCCAAUAGCGUAUAUUAAAGUUGCUGCAGUUAAAAAGCUCGUAGUUGAAUUUCGGGACCAGUAUGUUGGUCGUGCUUCGGUACGUACUGUCAUUACUGGUUUCUCCCUUCUGAAGAACCUUGAUGUCAUUAAUUUGGUGUCUUGGGGAAUCAGGACUGUUACUUUGAAAAAAUUAGAGUGUUUAAAGCAGGCAUACGCUUGAAUACAUUAGCAUGGAAUAAUGAAAUAGGACGUUUGAUUCUAUUUUGUUGGUUUCUAGGAUCGACGUAAUGAUUAAUAGGGAUAGUUGGGGGCAUUAGUAUUCAAUUGUCAGAGGUGAAAUUCUUGGAUUUAUUGAAGACUAACCACUGCGAAAGCAUUUGCCAAGGAUGUUUUCAUUAAUCAAGAACGAAAGUUAGGGGGAUCGAAGACGAUCAGAUACCGUCGUAGUCUUAACCAUAAACCUAUGCCGACUAGGGAUCGGAUGAUGUUAUUUUUAAUGACUCAUUCGGCGCCUUAA